GAUGAACGCUGGCGGCGUGCCUAAUACAUGCAAGUCGAGCGAACAGACGAGGAGCUUGCUCCUCUGACGUUAGCGGCGGACGGGUGAGUAACACGUGGAUAACCUACCUAUAAGACUGGGAUAACUUCGGGAAACCGGAGCUAAUACCGGAUAACAUGUUGAACCGCAUGGUUCAACAGUGAAAGACGGUCUUGCUGUCGCUUAUAGAUGGAUCCGCGCCGCAUUAGCUAGUUGGUAAGGUAACGGCUUACCAAGGCAACGAUGCGUAGCCGACCUGGGAGGGUGAUCGGCCACCCUGGAACUGAGACACGGUCCAGACUCCUACGGGAGGCAGCAGUAGGGAAUCUUCCGCAAUGGGCGAAAGCCUGACGGAGCAACGCCGCGUGAGUGAAGAAGGUCUUCGGAUCGUAAAACUCUGUUAUUAGGGAAGAACAAAUGUGUAAGUAACUAUGCACGUCUUGACGGUACCUAAUCAGAAAGCCACGGCUAACUACGUG
Molecule: ribosomal RNA, 497 nt
Filed under: uncultured bacterium
Lineage: Bacteria
Description: partial 16S ribosomal RNA
Rfam family: Bacterial small subunit ribosomal RNA
Source: RNAcentral